Molecule: long non-coding RNA, 1385 nt
Organism: Nerophis ophidion (straightnose pipefish)
Lineage: Eukaryota; Metazoa; Chordata; Actinopteri; Syngnathiformes; Syngnathidae
Exons: 6
Source: RefSeq, a predicted model, not a curated record
CUAUUGAACAAGGAUUCAAAUGGUUCAAACAAUGAUCGUAAAUUGCAUCGUAUGAAGGCUAUGUUUAAGUUCUGUCCAGAUUUUAACAUUGUAUUGUACUAAAUAUAGAUUUCUUAAACUGUUUUAUAUUUUGGUUUGAUAUUUUUAUUUCAGCUGUUGAAAUCCAUUCUUACCAAGAAAUCAGGUGGAGAAAUAUAUAAUAAAUGAAUACAACCAAACUAAGUCCUUGACAGAACAGAGCAGAAGAAAAUUGGUGGUGAAUAUACUGUCAGCUGAGAUGCCGGAGAAGAAUGGUACUUCUCCGUCAAGACAGGUGAAGGAAAUGUAUGCACAAGGAAUUGUGAACUUGUUCCCCAACCUCAGAGACCCAUUUUCCAAGAAUGGCUAUGAACAUUUUUAUGGAGAAUAAAAACUAUUCAGAGAUGCAGUGCUAAAAAAAGGCGAUCAUCAUUUGGAGCUUUGGCGGAAGGAUCAUCUGAUGAAGACAAGUCGGGAGGACCAACUGUUGGACGAGUUACCCAAUUCCAUCCAGAGAUUGUCCUGUCUUGGAAGCGAUGUCACUGAUGAAACAUUCGGCUGACGUGGACAUGGUCAUCAAAAAGAUGAAGCUGACAUGUGCCCAUCGGCAUAGCAUGGUCCUGGACCAACAGCAGUCAAGCAACAUUCUAUCUUAUUUUCCUCGUUUUAAAGACAUCAAUGGCUUGGUUGGGACAGCGACCUCUCAUCAAUUUUGCUGCUCUUACACUUGAUCCCACCGACUGAUCUAGGUCGGAAGAGGCCAGAAGAAGUUUCUGCAUCCCGGGCUGAGAAGCAUCUUGUGGUCUUCAAAAAGACUGGAUAAAGCAUCCUAGAACAUCUUGACACCAUUAUUACCACCACUCAACCCUAUCUCCUGGCUGUUGGAGUGAGGAAGAAUACAAUCCACGAGUUCUUCAUAAUUCUCGACAAGAAUGCCGUACCUUGCAGGUCACACUCCUCUCUUGGUGCUUUUGAUUAACUGUUUAAAGCACACUUUGUGUUUGCGACAUCAUACCACACAAUGCUCCACAACAUGUACACAUUCAUGCCUUACUCCAAACCAUUUGAUGUUCAAAUGGCGUGUGUAACAUCAUGUUCCACAUUGUAUGUUGUCCCAUAUUGCCAUUUCAUGCAGACCUAAGUUCACCCUUUAUGUAUUCUCUCCCUAAAGUUGAUUGUCCUGCCUGACAAAUAAAUAAAGGUUACUAAACGUAUGAUAUUGUAUUACUGUGUUUUGCACUCACUUGCUAUUUACAAGACAAAGUUGGUGAGACUUAAUUUGACACUGCACAAGAGUAAAUCAAGUAGAAUGAGCACCAUUUUUUUUUUUUCAGAAAUAGUGUGAGGUUUUAUAAAAACUGCAAUGU